CCCCUAGUAACUGCGAGUGAAGCGGGAAAAGCUCAAAUUUAAAAUCUGGCMBUCUUUGAUUGUCCGAGUUGUAAUCUAGAGAAGUGUUAUCCGCGCUGGACCGUGUACAAGUCUCCUGGAAUGGAGCGUCGUAGAGGGUGAGAAUCCCGUCUUUGACACGGACUGCCAGGGCUUUGUGAUGCGCUCUCAAAGAGUCGAGUUGUUUGGGAAUGCAGCUCAAAAUGGGUGGUAAAUUCCAUCUAAAGCUAAAUAUUGGCGAGAGACCGAUAGCGAACAAGUACCGUGAGGGAAAGAUGAAAAGAACUUUGGAAAGAGAGUUAAACAGUACGUGAAAUUGCUGAAAGGGAAACGCUUGAAGUCAGUCGCGUUGUCCAGGGAUCAACCUUGCUUUUGCUUGGUGCACUUUCUGGUUGACGGGUCAGCAUCAAUUUUGAUUAUUGGAAAAAGAUUAGGGGAAUGUGGCAUCUUAGGAUGUGUUAUAGCCCUUGGUUGCAUACAAUAGUUGGGAUUGAGGAACUCAGCACGCCGCAAGGCCGGGUUUUUAACCACGUACGUGCUUAGGAUGCUGGCAUAAUGGCUUUAAUCGACCCGUCUUGAAACACGGACCAAGGAGUCUAACAUGCCUGCGAGUGUUUGGGUGGAAAACUCGAGCGCGCAAUGAAAGUGAAAGUUGAGAUCCCUGUCGUGGGGAGCAUCGACGCCCGGACCAGAUCUUUUGUGACGGUUCCGCGGUAGAGCAUGUAUGUUGGGACCCGAAAGAUGGUGAACUAUGCCUGAAUAGGGUGAAGCCAGAGGAAACUCUGGUGGAGGCUCGUAGCGAUUCUGACGUGCA
RNAcentral lists this ribosomal RNA (832 nucleotides) under Cortinarius atropurpureus. RNAcentral describes it as "eukaryotic LSU rRNA". It matches the Rfam family "Eukaryotic large subunit ribosomal RNA", at positions 77 to 895 of the family's 3401-position model. Lineage: Eukaryota; Fungi; Basidiomycota; Agaricomycetes; Agaricales; Cortinariaceae. The record is from RNAcentral.